GACGAACGCUGGCGGCGCGCCUAACACAUGCAAGUCGAACGAGCGAGAGAGAGCUUGCUUUCUCGAGCGAGUGGCGAACGGGUGAGUAACGCGUGAGGAACCUGCCUCAAAGAGGGGGACAACAGUUGGAAACGACUGCUAAUACCGCAUAAGCCCACGGCUCGGCAUCGAGCAGGGGGAAAAGGAGCAAUCCGCUUUGAGAUGGCCUCGCGUCCGAUUAGCUAGUUGGUGAGGUAACGGCCCACCAAGGCGACGAUCGGUAGCCGGACUGAGAGGUUGAACGGCCACAUUGGGACUGAGACACGGCCCAGAAUCCUACGGGAGGCAGCAGUGGGGAAUAUUGCAAAAUGGGGGAAACCCUGAUGCAGCGACGCCGCGUGGAGGAAGAAGGUGUUCGGAUUGUAAACUCCUGUUGUUGGGGAAGAUAAUGACGGUACCCAACAAGGAAGUGACGGCUAACUACGUG
Molecule: ribosomal RNA, 466 nt
Filed under: uncultured bacterium
Lineage: Bacteria
Description: partial 16S ribosomal RNA
Rfam family: Bacterial small subunit ribosomal RNA
Source: RNAcentral